CCUACGGGAGGCAGCAGUGGGGAAUUUUGGACAAUGGGCGCAAGCCUGAUCCAGCAAUGCCGCGUGAGUGAAGAAGGCCUUCGGGUUGUAAAGCUCUUUUGUCAGGGAAGAAAAGGGUGCGGCUAAUAUCUGCGCCUCAUGACGGUACCUGAAGAAUAAGCACCGGCUAACUACGUGCCAGCAGCCGCGGUAAUACGUAGGGUGCAAGCGUUAAUCGGAAUUACUGGGCGUAAAGCGUGCGCAGGCGGUUUUGUAAGACUGUCGUGAAAUCCCCGGGCUCAACCUGGGAAUGGCGAUGGUGACUGCAAGGCUAGAGUUUGGCAGAGGGGGGUAGAAUUCCACGUGUAGCAGUGAAAUGCGUAGAUAUGUGGAGGAACACCGAUGGCGAAGGCAGCCCCCUGGGUCAAAACUGACGCUCAUGCACGAAAGCGUGGGGAGCAAACAGGAUUAGAUACCCUGGUAGUCCACGCCCUAAACGAUGUCUACUAGUUGUCGGGUCUUAAUUGACUUGGUAACGCAGCUAACGCGUGAAGUAGACCGCCUGGGGAUCGGUCGCAAGNUAAACUAAAUGAAUUGACCGGNNGAGAGAGCGACGACGACGACGAGGGAGGAGG
RNAcentral lists this ribosomal RNA (614 nucleotides) under uncultured bacterium. RNAcentral describes it as "bacterial SSU rRNA". It matches the Rfam family "Bacterial small subunit ribosomal RNA", at positions 338 to 1212 of the family's 1533-position model. The record is from RNAcentral.